Molecule: ribosomal RNA, 429 nt
Filed under: uncultured Thermomonas sp.
Lineage: Bacteria; Pseudomonadati; Pseudomonadota; Gammaproteobacteria; Lysobacterales; Lysobacteraceae
Description: bacterial SSU rRNA
Rfam family: Bacterial small subunit ribosomal RNA
Source: RNAcentral
UGGGGAAUAUUGGACAAUGGGCGCAAGCCUGAUCCAGCCAUGCCGCGUGAGUGAAGAAGGCCCUCGGGUUGUAAAGCUCUUUUGUCCGGAAAGAAAAGCAUUCGGUUAAUACCCGGGUGUUCUGACGGUACCGGAAGAAUAAGCACCGGCUAACUUCGUGCCAGCAGCCGCGGUAAUACGAAGGGUGCAAGCGUUACUCGGAAUUACUGGGCGUAAAGCGUGCGUAGGUGGUUUGUUAAGUCUGAUGUGAAAGCCCUGGGCUCAACCUGGGAAUGGCAUUGGAUACUGGCAGGCUAGAGUGUGGCAGAGGGUAGUGGAAUUCCUGGUGUAGCAGUGAAAUGCGUAGAGAUCAGGAGGAACAUCCGUGGCGAAGGCGACUGCCUGGGCCAACACUGACACUGAGGCACGAAAGCGUGGGGAGCAAACAGG